RNAcentral lists this ribosomal RNA (497 nucleotides) under uncultured bacterium. RNAcentral's name for it is "partial 16S ribosomal RNA". It matches the Rfam family "Bacterial small subunit ribosomal RNA", at positions 28 to 507 of the family's 1533-position model. The record is from RNAcentral.
GAUGAACGCUGGCGGCGUGCCUAAUACAUGCAAGUCGAGCGAACGGACGAGAAGCUUGCUUCUCUGAUGUUAGCGGCGGACGGGUGAGUAACACGUGGAUAACCUACCUAUAAGACUGGGAUAACUUCGGGAAACCGGAGCUAAUACUGGAUAAUAUUUUGAACCGCAUGGUUCAAAAGUGAAAGACGGUCUUGCUGUCACUUAUAGAUGGAUCCGCGCUGCAUUAGCUAGUUGGUAAGGUAACGGCUUACCAAGGCAACGAUGCAUAGCCUACCUGAGAGGGUGAUCGGCCACACUGGAACUGAGACACGGUCCAGACUCCUACGGGAGGCAGCAGUAGGGAAUCUUCCGCAAUGGGCGAAAGCCUGACGGAGCAACGCCGCGUGAGUGAUGAAGGUCUUCGGAUCGUAAAACUCUGUUAUUAGGGAAGAACAUAUGUGUAAGUAACUGUGCACAUCUUGACGGUACCUAAUCAGAAAGCCACGGCUAACUACGUG